GUAAUUUGGUCGAGUGGUAAGGACACUUGCCUCUCACUCUGGAGUCGCAGGUUCGAUGCCUGGUCGAGGAGCU
RNAcentral lists this transfer RNA (73 nucleotides) under Rhamnusium bicolor. RNAcentral's name for it is "tRNA-OTHER". Lineage: Eukaryota; Metazoa; Arthropoda; Insecta; Coleoptera; Cerambycidae. The record is from RNAcentral.